Molecule: non-coding RNA, 23 nt
Filed under: Arabidopsis thaliana (thale cress)
Lineage: Eukaryota; Viridiplantae; Streptophyta; Magnoliopsida; Brassicales; Brassicaceae
Source: RNAcentral
UCAAGAGGCUCGGUAAAGGGUUA